GACGAACCGAGCGAACGUUGUUCGGAAUCACUGGGCUUAAAGGGCGCGUAGGCGGGCUAUCAAGUCUGGGGUGAAAUGCCGCGGCUCAACCGCGGAACGGCCUCAGAUACUGACGGCCUGGAGGGAGGUAGGGGCAUGCGGAACUGUAGGUGGAGCGGUGAAAUGCGUUGAUAUCUACAGGAACUCCGGUGGCGAAAGCGGCGUGCUGGACCUCUUCUGACGCUGAGGCGCGAAAGCUAGGGGAGCGAACGGG
Molecule: ribosomal RNA, 253 nt
Filed under: uncultured bacterium
Lineage: Bacteria
Description: partial 16S ribosomal RNA
Rfam family: Bacterial small subunit ribosomal RNA
Source: RNAcentral